RNAcentral lists this transfer RNA (74 nucleotides) under Podarcis lilfordi (Lilford's wall lizard). Its description in RNAcentral is "tRNA.Asn". The stretch from base 8 to 66 matches the Rfam family "tRNA", at positions 8 to 63 of the family's 71-position model. Rfam says of the family: Transfer RNA (tRNA) molecules are approximately 80 nucleotides in length. Their secondary structure includes four short double-helical elements and three loops (D, anti-codon, and T loops). The record is from RNAcentral. Lineage: Eukaryota; Metazoa; Chordata; Lepidosauria; Squamata; Lacertidae.
GCCUGGAUAGCUCAGUUGGUUAGAGCAUGGUGCUAUUAAUGCCAAGGUUGCAGGUUUGAUCCCUGUAUGGGACA